Molecule: ribosomal RNA, 1011 nt
Filed under: uncultured Bifidobacterium sp.
Lineage: Bacteria; Bacillati; Actinomycetota; Actinomycetes; Bifidobacteriales; Bifidobacteriaceae
Description: bacterial SSU rRNA
Rfam family: Bacterial small subunit ribosomal RNA
Source: RNAcentral
UAAUACGUAGGGUGCAAGCGUUAUCCGGAAUUAUUGGGCGUAAAGGGCUCGUAGGCGGUUCGUCGCGUCCGGUGUGAAAGUCCAUCGCUUAACGGUGGAUCCGCGCCGGGUACGGGCGGGCUUGAGUGCGGUAGGGGAGACUGGAAUUCCCGGUGUAACGGUGGAAUGUGUAGAUAUCGGGAAGAACACCAAUGGCGAAGGCAGGUCUCUGGGCCGUCACUGACGCUGAGGAGCGAAAGCGUGGGGAGCGAACAGGAUUAGAUACCCUGGUAGUCCACGCCGUAAACGGUGGAUGCUGGAUGUGGGGACCAUUCCACGGUCUCCGUGUCGGAGCCAACGCGUUAAGCAUCCCGCCUGGGGAGUACGGCCGCAAGGCUAAAACUCAAAGAAAUUGACGGGGGCCCGCACAAGCGGCGGAGCAUGCGGAUUAAUUCGAUGCAACGCGAAGAACCUUACCUGGGCUUGACAUGUUCCCGACAGCCCCAGAGAUGGGGCCUCCCUUCGGGGCGGGUUCACAGGUGGUGCAUGGUCGUCGUCAGCUCGUGUCGUGAGAUGUUGGGUUAAGUCCCGCAACGAGCGCAACCCUCGCCCUGUGUUGCCAGCACGUCGUGGUGGGAACUCACGGGGGACCGCCGGGGUCAACUCGGAGGAAGGUGGGGAUGACGUCAGAUCAUCAUGCCCCUUACGUCCAGGGCUUCACGCAUGCUACAAUGGCCGGUACAACGGGAUGCGACACCGCGAGGUGGAGCGGAUCCCUUAAAACCGGUCUCAGUUCGGAUUGGAGUCUGCAACCCGACUCCAUGAAGGCGGAGUCGCUAGUAAUCGCGGAUCAGCAACGCCGCGGUGAAUGCGUUCCCGGGCCUUGUACACACCGCCCGUCAAGUCAUGAAAGUGGGUAGCACCUGAAGCCGGUGGCCCAACCUUUUUGGGGGGAGCCGUCUAAGGUGAGACUCGUGAUUGGGACUAAGUCGUAACAAGGUAGAGCUCUCAGUCAAAUCACUAGUGAAUUCG